GUGAAAAACGUGUAAAUAUGUUUUUCAAACAUGUUCUUAAGACUUUUUAAUCUUUCUAUGUUCUUGUUGUCUGGUUUAUUUCCCAUGAAUGUUAGGGAUCAGAUCACUGCUGUGUAAAUAAUAGUCCACCCAAGGUAUUCAUAUGCAUUUCUUGACAUGGCCUAAGGCAAGAGUCCUGCUUUCCAUUGUCCCCUAAUUUAU
Molecule: long non-coding RNA, 201 nt
Filed under: Homo sapiens (human)
Lineage: Eukaryota; Metazoa; Chordata; Mammalia; Primates; Hominidae
Description: non-protein coding lnc-VIT-3:1
Source: RNAcentral